UACUUUAGCCUUUGCGUGAUUACCAUCGC
RNAcentral lists this non-coding RNA (29 nucleotides) under Bombyx mori (domestic silkworm). Lineage: Eukaryota; Metazoa; Arthropoda; Insecta; Lepidoptera; Bombycidae. The record is from RNAcentral.